AACCUUAUAGUCAAAAAUGAUAUUAGACUGCAAUUCUAAAGGAGUAAUUAAUUUAUUAUUUAGGUUU
RNAcentral lists this transfer RNA (67 nucleotides) under Polypedilum masudai. Its description in RNAcentral is "tRNA-Cys". Lineage: Eukaryota; Metazoa; Arthropoda; Insecta; Diptera; Chironomidae. The record is from RNAcentral.